Molecule: non-coding RNA, 29 nt
Filed under: Homo sapiens (human)
Lineage: Eukaryota; Metazoa; Chordata; Mammalia; Primates; Hominidae
Source: RNAcentral
UCAGCUGCCAGCAUGGCAAAAACACAGCA